RNAcentral lists this ribosomal RNA (491 nucleotides) under Rhizoplaca chrysoleuca. RNAcentral's name for it is "partial ribosomal RNA". The stretch from base 134 to 295 matches the Rfam family "5.8S ribosomal RNA". The record is from RNAcentral. Lineage: Eukaryota; Fungi; Ascomycota; Lecanoromycetes; Lecanorales; Lecanoraceae.
UUGUUGCUUUGGGCGGGCCUUGGGGUCCGCCCCAUCCCGGCCACGGGCCUCGCGCCCGGGCCAGGCCGCGCCGUCCGGGGCCCAUUCAAACUAUGUUUACCAGUGCUGUCCGAGUGAAUACCACAAUAGUAAAAACUUUCAACAAGGGAUCUCUGGGUUCUCGCAAUCGAAUGAAGAAACGCAGCGAAAUGCGAUAAGUAAUGUGAAUUGCAGAAUUCAGUGAAAUCAUCGAAUCUUUGAACGCACAUUAGAGCCCCUUUGGGUAUUCACGAGGGGCAUGCCUGUUCGAGCGUCAUUGAACACUCACCCCUCAACGCUCCGCUUGCCGUGUUAGGCCGAGACCCCCGCGUAGGGCCGUACCGAAAUCCAGUGGCGGGCCGUACCGAAAUCCAGUGGCGGUCCGGCGUGACUUCGAGCGUAGUAGGGAUCCUAUCGCUCGUUGGAAGCUCGGCGUCGGGGCCGGCCACGAACGCCCUCAAUUUCAUUUCCGA